UCUUGGUCAUUUAGAGGAAGUAAAAGUCGUAAUAAGGUUUCCGUAGGUGAACCUGCGGAAGGAUCAUUAGUAAAAGGAAAAGGGAGUUCUCUCAACCCCUUUCCAAAUCCUGUAUUCACCCCAAGUUCCUAAAAAUUUUUACAAUGAAAAACUUGCAAAAAGACCAUCCACGAACGGAUGGCGUCUAAUGCAAAAACGAAAACUUUCAACAACGGAUCUCUUGGCUCUCGCAUCGAUGAAGAACGCAGCGAAAUGCGAUAAGUAGUGUGAAUUGCAGACUAAGUGAAUCAUCGAAUCUUUGAACGCAUAUUGCGCUCUCUGGUAUUCCGGGGAGCAUACUUGUCUGAGGGUCGGUAAAACAAAUCCUCUGUUUUGAGGGUCAAUGGGCGCAUCCGUUAGCCAGUUUUUUUUUGGGUACCGGUCGCCUGAAAUAAUAUAGGUUCCGCAACAAUGCGGAUCGCGUAGUAAGUAAGCGUUUUACGCGCAAUGCAACUCGCGAUUAUGCAGUGGCGGUAAGCUAAACUUUAUAUAACACUUUCGUCUCGACCUCAGAUCAAGUAAGAAUACCCGCUGAACUUAAGCAUAUCAAUAAGCGGAGGAAAUCGGAUCCCGG
Molecule: ribosomal RNA, 613 nt
Filed under: uncultured fungus
Lineage: Eukaryota; Fungi
Description: eukaryotic LSU rRNA
Rfam family: 5.8S ribosomal RNA (bases 201-353)
Source: RNAcentral